Molecule: unclassified non-coding RNA, 139 nt
Filed under: soil metagenome
Description: partial internal transcribed spacer 1
Source: RNAcentral
CAUUCAGUAGCCUAGCUACUUGUUUAUACCCUUGUUUUUUUGCGUACCUAUUGUUUCCUCGGUGGGCUUGCCUGCCGGUUGGACAAAACUAUAACCCUUUUAAAUCUUCAAUCAGCGUCUGAAUUAUACAUAAUAAUUA